Molecule: small nuclear RNA, 106 nt
Organism: Manis pentadactyla (Chinese pangolin)
Lineage: Eukaryota; Metazoa; Chordata; Mammalia; Pholidota; Manidae
Source: RefSeq, a predicted model, not a curated record
GUGCUCGCUUUGGCAGCACCUAUACUAAAAUUGGAAUGAUUCAGAGAAGAUUAGCAUGGACCCUGAGAAGAAAAAAAAUAUCUUCCCAGAGUACCAGUCUAAACUA